UAGGGAAUCUUCGGCAAUGGACGGAAGUCUGACCGAGCAACGCCGCGUGAGUGAAGAAGGUUUUCGGAUCGUAAAGCCCUGUUGUUAGAGAAGAACGUUGGUAGGAGUGGAAAAUCUACCAAGUGACGGUAACUAACCAGAAAGGGACGGCUAACUACGUGCCAGCAGCCGCGGUAAUACGUAGGUCCCGAGCGUUGUCCGGAUUUAUUGAGCGUAAAGCGAGCGCAGGCGGUUCUUUAAGUCUGAAGUUAAAGGCAGUGGCUUAACCAUUGUACGCUUUGGAAACUGGAGGACGUGAGUGCAGAAGGGGAGAGUGGAAUUCCAUGUGUAGCGGUGAAAUGCGUAGAUAUAUGGAGGAACACCGGUGGCGAAAGCGGCUCUCUGGUGUGUAACUGACGCUGAGGCUCGAAAGCGUGGGGAGCAAACAGG
Molecule: ribosomal RNA, 429 nt
Filed under: Bacillota bacterium
Lineage: Bacteria; Bacillati; Bacillota
Description: Firmicutes bacterium partial 16S ribosomal RNA
Rfam family: Bacterial small subunit ribosomal RNA
Source: RNAcentral